CCGAACCGUCGACACGAGUUGUUGCUGGCCCCUCUGACAGGGGGGCACGUGCACACUCUGUUUACACAUCCACUCACACCUGUGCACCCUCUGUAGUUCUGUGGCUUGAGAGACAGAGUCUCUCUGCCGUGGCUCUACGUUUUUAUACACACUCUGUAGUGAAGUCUUAUGGAAUGUGUGCCGCGUUUAACGCAAUGAAAUA
Molecule: unclassified non-coding RNA, 202 nt
Filed under: uncultured Thelephoraceae
Lineage: Eukaryota; Fungi; Basidiomycota; Agaricomycetes; Thelephorales; Thelephoraceae
Description: sequence contains ITS1
Source: RNAcentral